GAUGAACGCUAGCGGCAGGCUUAACACAUGCAAGUCGAGGGGUAACAGGGAGGAGCUUGCUUUUCCGCUGACGACCGGCGCACGGGUGCGUAACGCGUAUAGAACCUACCUUUUACAGGGGAAUAGCCCAGAGAAAUUUGGAUUAAUGCCCCAUAGUAUUAUUGAAUGGCAUCAUUUAAUAAUUAAACAUUUAUGGGUAAAAGAUGGCUAUGCGUUCUAUUAGCUAGAUGGUAAGGUAACGGCUUACCAUGGCAACGAUAGAUAGGGGUCCUGAGAGGGAGAUCCCCCACACUGGUACUGAGACACGGACCAGACUCCUACGGGAGGCAGCAGUGAGGAAUAUUGGACAAUGGAGGCAACUCUGAUCCAGCCAUGCCGCGUGCAGGAAGACGGUCCUAUGGAUUGUAAACUGCUUUUAUAUAGGAAGAAACCUUUCCACGUGUGGAAAGCUGACGGUACUAUAAGAAUAAGCACCGGCUAACUCCGUGCCAGCAGCCGCGGUAAUACGGAGGGUGCAAGCGUUAUCCGGAAUCAUUGGGUUUAAAGGGUCCGUAGGCGGACUAAUAAGUCAGGGGUGAAAUCCAACAGCUUAACUGUUGAACUGCCUUUGAUACUGUUAGUCUUGAGUUAUAUGGAAGUAGAUAGAAUAUGUAGUGUAGCGGUGAAAUGCUUAGAGAUUACAUAGAAUACCGAUUGCGAAGGCAGUCUACUACGUAUAUAC
This 721-nucleotide ribosomal RNA is filed under the name Lutibacter sp. RNAcentral's name for it is "bacterial SSU rRNA". It matches the Rfam family "Bacterial small subunit ribosomal RNA", at positions 28 to 740 of the family's 1533-position model. Lineage: Bacteria; Pseudomonadati; Bacteroidota; Flavobacteriia; Flavobacteriales; Flavobacteriaceae. The record is from RNAcentral.